This 492-nucleotide ribosomal RNA is filed under the name uncultured bacterium. RNAcentral's name for it is "partial 16S ribosomal RNA". It matches the Rfam family "Bacterial small subunit ribosomal RNA", at positions 28 to 507 of the family's 1533-position model. The record is from RNAcentral.
GAUGAACGCUAGCUACAGGCUUAACACAUGCAAGUCGAGGGGAAACGACAUCGAAAGCUUGCUUUUGAUGGGCGUCGACCGGCGCACGGGUGAGUAACGCGUAUCCAACCUGCCCAUCACUUGGGAAUAACCUUGCGAAAGUAAGACUAAUACCCAAUGACAUCCCACGAAGACAUCUGAAUGGGAUUAAAGAUUUAUCGGUGAUGGAUGGGGAUGCGUCUGAUUAGCUUGUUGGCGGGGUAACGGCCCACCAAGGCAACGAUCAGUAGGGGUUCUGAGAGGAAGGUCCCCCACAUUGGAACUGGGACACGGUCCAAACUCCUACGGGAGGCAGCAGUGAGGAAUAUUGGUCAAUGGGCGAGAGCCUGAACCAGCCAAGUAGCGUGCAGGAUGCCGGCCCUAUGGGUUGUAAACUGCUUUUAUAAGGGAAUAAAGUGGGUCUCGUGAGACUUUUUGCAUGUACCUUAUGAAUAAGGACCGGCUAAUUCCGUG